This 421-nucleotide ribosomal RNA is filed under the name uncultured bacterium. Its description in RNAcentral is "bacterial SSU rRNA". It matches the Rfam family "Bacterial small subunit ribosomal RNA", at positions 355 to 774 of the family's 1533-position model. The record is from RNAcentral.
UAAGGAAUAUUGGUCAAUGGACGCAAGCCUGAACCAGCCAUGCCGCGUGAAGGAUGAAGGUCCUCUGGAUUGUAAACUUCUUUUAUCUGGGACGAAAACGGGAUUUUUAUCUCAAUUGACGGUACCAGAGGAAUAAGCACCGGCUAACUCCGUGCCAGCAGCCGCGGUAAUACGGAGGGUGCGAGCGUUAUCCGGAUUUACUGGGUUUAAAGGGUGCGCAGGCGGAUGGGUAAGUCAGGGGUGAAAGUCUGCAGCUUAACUGUAGAAUUGCCUUUGAUACUGCUCAUCUUGAGUGUGGGAGAGGUUGAUGGAAUUCCAGGUGUAGCAGUGAAAUGCGUAGAUAUCUGGAAGAACACCAGUGGCGAAGGCGGUCAACUGGCCCAUAACUGACGCUCAUGCACGAAAGCGUGGGGAGCAAACA